AUCCAGCUGACGAGUCCCAAAUAGGACGAAACGCCCAUCCGGAAU
This 45-nucleotide non-coding RNA is filed under the name Schistosoma mansoni. The record is from RNAcentral. Lineage: Eukaryota; Metazoa; Platyhelminthes; Trematoda; Strigeidida; Schistosomatidae.